GUGGAGCCGUAGCGAAAGCGAGUCUGAAUAGGGCGUUUAGUAUUUGGUCGUAGACCCGAAACCAGGUGAUCUACCCUUGGUCAGGUUGAAGUUCAGGUAACACUGAAUGGAGGACCGAACCGACUUACGUUGAAAAGUGAGCGGAUGAACUGAGGGUAGCGGAGAAAUUCCAAUCGAACCUGGAGAUAGCUGGUUCUCUCCGAAAUAGCUUUAGGGCUAGCCUCAAGUGAUGAUUAUUGGAGGUAGAGCACUGUUUGGACGAGGGGCCCCUCUCGGGUUACCGAAUUCAGACAAACUCCGAAUGCCAAUUAAUUUAACUUGGGAGUCAGAACAUGGGUGAUAAGGUCCGUGUUCGAAAGGGAAACAGCCCAGACCACCAGCUAAGGUCCCAAAAUAUAUGUUAAGUGGAAAAGGAUGUGGCGUUGCCCAGACAACUAGGAUGUUGGCUUAGAAGCAGCCAUCAUUUAAAGAGUGCGUAAUAGCUCACUAGUCGAGUGACACUGCGCCGAAAAUGUACCGGGGCUAAACAUAUUACCGAAGCUGUGGAUUGUCCUUUGGACAAUGGUAGGAGAGCGUUCUAAGGGCGUUGAAGCAUGAUCGUAAGGACAUGUGGAGCGCUUAGAAGUGAGAAUGCCGGUGUGAGUAGCGAAAGACGGGUGAGAAUCCCGUCCACCGAUUGACUAAGGUUUCCAGAGGAAGGCUCGUCCGCUCUGGGUUAGUCGGGUCCUAAGCUGAGGCCGACAGGCGUAGGCGAUGGAUAACAGGUUGAUAUUCCUGUACCACCUAUAAUCGUUUUAAUCGAUGGGG
RNAcentral lists this ribosomal RNA (807 nucleotides) under Staphylococcus aureus. RNAcentral's name for it is "partial 23S ribosomal RNA". It matches the Rfam family "Bacterial large subunit ribosomal RNA", at positions 660 to 1469 of the family's 2925-position model. The record is from RNAcentral. Lineage: Bacteria; Bacillati; Bacillota; Bacilli; Caryophanales; Staphylococcaceae.